GAAGUGGUGGUUUAGCGGUCAAGGCUCUGGAUUAUUGAUCAGAAGGUCGCGGGUUCAAGCCCGAGCACUACC
This is a non-coding RNA of Ameiurus melas (black bullhead), 72 nucleotides long. The record is from the annotation of a GenBank genome assembly. NCBI's taxonomy places the organism in Eukaryota, Metazoa, Chordata, Actinopteri, Siluriformes, Ictaluridae.